This 1402-nucleotide ribosomal RNA is filed under the name uncultured bacterium. RNAcentral describes it as "16S ribosomal RNA". It matches the Rfam family "Bacterial small subunit ribosomal RNA". The record is from RNAcentral.
AGAGUUUGAUCCUGGCUCAGGAUGAACGCUAGCGGCAGGCUUAACACAUGCAAGUCGAGGGGCAGCGGGGAGGAAGCUUGCUUUCUCCGCCGGCGACCGGCGCACGGGUGAGUAACACGUAUGCAACCUGCCCCUGUCAGGGGGACAACCCGCCGAAAGGCGGGCUAAACCCGCGUACAUGCCACCGGGGCAUCCCGGAGGCAGGAAAGGCUUCGGCCGGACAGGGAUGGGCAUGCGGCGCAUUAGGCAGUAGGCGGGGUAACGGCCCACCUAACCGACGAUGCGUAGGGGUUCUGAGAGGAAGGUCCCCCACACUGGUACUGAGACACGGACCAGACUCCUACGGGAGGCAGCAGUGAGGAAUAUUGGUCAAUGGUCGGGAGACUGAACCAGCCAAGCCGCGUGAGGGAGGAAGGUACAGAGUAUCGUAAACCUCUUUUGUCAGGGAACAAAGGCGGGGACGUGUCCCCGGAUGAGUGUACCUGAAGAAAAAGCAUCGGCUAACUCCGUGCCAGCAGCCGCGGUAAUACGGAGGAUGCGAGCGUUAUCCGGAUUUAUUGGGUUUAAAGGGUGCGCAGGCGGUCUGUUAAGUCAGCGGUCAAAGCCCGGGGCUCAACCCCGGCCCGCCGUUGAAACUGGCAGUCUCGAGUUGGAGAGAAGUAUGCGGAAUGCGCGGUGUAGCGGUGAAAUGCAUAGAUAUCGCGCAGAACUCCGAUUGCGAAGGCAGCAUGCCGGCUCCACACUGACGCUGAGGCACGAAAGCGUGGGUAUCGAACAGGAUUAGAUACCCUGGUAGUCCACGCAGUAAACGAUGAAUGCUGGCUGUCCGGGGGGACUGACCCCUGGGUGGCGAAGCGAAAGCGAUAAGCAUUCCACCUGGGGAGUACGCCGGCAACGGUGAAACUCAAAGGAAUUGACGGGGGCCCGCACAAGCGGAGGAACAUGUGGUUUAAUUCGAUGAUACGCGAGGAACCUUACCCGGGCUCAAACGGGGAGUGGCGCAGGCAGAGACGCCUGUUUCCCACGGGACACUCCCCGAGGUGCUGCAUGGUUGUCGUCAGCUCGUGCCGUGAGGUGUCGGCUUAAGUGCCAUAACGAGCGCAACCCCCGCGUGCAGUUGCUAACAGUCAACGCUGAGGACUCUGCACGGACUGCCGGCGCAAGCCGCGAGGAAGGCGGGGAUGACGUCAAAUCAGCACGGCCCUUACGUCCGGGGCGACACACGUGUUACAAUGGGUGGUACAGCGGGAAGCCAGGCGGCGACGCCGAGCGGAACCCGAAAUCCACUCUCAGUUCGGAUCGGAGUCUGCAACCCGACUCCGUGAAGCUGGAUUCGCUAGUAAUCGCGCAUCAGCCAUGGCGCGGUGAAUACGUUCCCGGGCCUUGCACACACAACCCGUCA